GACGAACGCUGGCGGCGUGCCUAAUACAUGCAAGUUGAGCGCUGAAGGUUGGUACUUGUACCAACUGGAUGAGCAGCGAACGGGUGAGUAACGCGUGGGGAAUCUGCCUUUGAGCGGGGGACAACAUUUGGAAACGAAUGCUAAUACCGCAUAAAAACUUUAAACACAAGUUUUAAGUUUGAAAGAUGCAAUUGCAUCACUCAAAGAUGAUCCCGCGUUGUAUUAGCUAGUUGGUGAGGUAAAGGCUCACCAAGGCGAUGAUACAUAGCCGACCUGGAAGGGUGAUCGGCCACAUUGGGACUGAGACACGGCCCAAACUCCUACGGGAGGCAGCAGUAGGGAGUCUUCGGCAAUGGACGAAAGUCUGACCGAGCAACGCCGCGUGAGUGAAGAAGGUUUUCGGAUCGUAAAACUCUGUUGGUAGAGAAGAACGUUGGUGAGAGUGGAAAGCUCAUCAAGUGACGGUAACUACCCAGAAAGGGACGGCUAACUACGUG
This 497-nucleotide ribosomal RNA is filed under the name uncultured bacterium. RNAcentral describes it as "partial 16S ribosomal RNA". It matches the Rfam family "Bacterial small subunit ribosomal RNA", at positions 28 to 507 of the family's 1533-position model. The record is from RNAcentral.